CUGCACACAUCAAGUUUUUAUUAGUGUGAUUUUUUAGACGAAUUCACAACAUAAACAAUCACAAGUGAUCAGAACCCAAAAUCAAAAGCACUAAAAUCAACUAUUUCCAAACCCAAAGACAAGGGAACUUCUCCACACCAAUUCUAGUAAUUAUCCACCACAGUUGUUGAUCCCUUCAUAUGACAAGGACCAGAAAAAUCACAAACAUACAAACUGACCAAGAAAACUUAAUAACAGAGGAACCACCUUCAAACAGCUACAAUAACAGAAAAUCAAUGACAGAAAUUAGAAUUUAAACAAGCUCCAUCAGAGUAAAUUACAUGUCUAUAUCUACAUGUCCACAUGAGCUGAACUUAACUUAGUUGACAGAGACAUUACA
This 379-nucleotide long non-coding RNA is filed under the name Trifolium pratense (red clover). RNAcentral describes it as "long non-coding RNA (TPRA_LNC005717)". Lineage: Eukaryota; Viridiplantae; Streptophyta; Magnoliopsida; Fabales; Fabaceae. The record is from RNAcentral.